Molecule: non-coding RNA, 892 nt
Organism: Carica papaya (papaya)
Lineage: Eukaryota; Viridiplantae; Streptophyta; Magnoliopsida; Brassicales; Caricaceae
Source: RefSeq, a predicted model, not a curated record
AGCUCGCCUUUUAUUCGUCACCCUUUACAGAGCAAGCAGCAAGCAAUCCGCUAUCCAGAAUCCUGAUAAUGGAAUCUCUUCCCCUUCAUGUCUUCUUCCAAUUCCCUCGGGCUUUAAGAACUCCCUGUAGGAACAGUCAGCAAUCCAAGAAUGCUGUGAUGAACAAUUUGCGCAAUAGAUUCCCGUCAAUAACUGUCAAAAAAUUUUCAAGAAGGGUUCUUUUGCAGUUUGUUGGGUUCAGCAUGAUCCCAUUAUCUGUCUAUCCUGUUUUUGCUGCACCAGUUCUGGAGACAAAAGAACCUGAAGUGAUUCGAUUUUUUUUAGCUCUCGUAUGAAAUUGGUAUUUGCAAAUUGAAGUUGUCCAGGAUACUGAAGCUCGCUACUGGUGUGAGGAUUCAAGGUUAUCGAAGGGGAAGGACGUGAAGCUCGUGAAGGAGACUUGGUUGAAGUGAAUUAUGUAUGCAGACGCGCAAAUGGAUAUUUUGUUCACAGCACUGUGGAUCAGUUUAGUGGAGAAAGCUCACCUGUCAUACUCCCUUUGGAUGAGAACCAAAUUAUAAAAGGCCUGAAGGAGGUGUUGGUUGGCAUGAGGAUUGGAGGAAAACGUAGAGCUCUGAUACCUCCGUCUGUGGGAUAUGUAAACGAGAACUUGAAGCCAGUCCCUGAAGAGUUUGGCCCUCGUCGUAGCCUCUUCUCUCAUGCCAACGAACCUUUGGUAUUUGAGGUACAGCUCUUGCGGAUACUUUGAGCUUAAACGAGGUUUUUAAAUUGAUUCCGAAACGUUUCUGCUAUAACUGUAAUUCAGAAUUUUUUCCAAUUUAGUUGAAGAUUAUAUUUAUGUCCAGAUUCAUUUUCAGCGGAAUAAAAAUGUAUAUUUUCUUUUUCAUUUGAA